RNAcentral lists this long non-coding RNA (5004 nucleotides) under Homo sapiens (human). Its description in RNAcentral is "HSALNT0067191". The record is from RNAcentral. Lineage: Eukaryota; Metazoa; Chordata; Mammalia; Primates; Hominidae.
AUAAAUACAAAUUCACCAGUUUACAAACAGAAAAACUAUCUGAUCCAAACAGUGUUUUUUAUCUUAAUAGAAAAAUAACAGCAAAUUUAAAGCAGGCAGAGAAGAAACUAGAGAAAAAAGAGGACUCAGGAACUCUACAGUUUGCAGGUCAACCUCAGGGCUCCUUUUUUUUUAAUGUAAAUGUGCAGAAAGACCAUAUUACUUCCACUUUACAUAAACUCUGGCAAGUAGAGGCGCCAUGAACCCUAUGGAGUACUCGGCUGGGAGGAGCAAACGCCCUUUCUCUUUGGAGCUGAGAAAACUCAAUCUCUCAUUUACCUAUGACAACAACAGUUCAGUUCCUCAUGCAAAUACAUAGACAACCCAAACUGAGAUUCAUUUUGGGAGAAAAAGCAAUAGAGAAGACCCUUUAGGAUGCAUCUCUGAACUAGAAUUAGGAUCCUUAAAUCACAGCUUCCUAGAAGAGAAAAAAAAAAAAACAAAAAAACAGCCAAGACCAUUCCCUGUAAACUGUGCUCAGCCACCCCUUCUUUGUAGUUCUCGUCUGCCAUUACACACGCCAAGGUCAAAUCCUCUCACAGUGCAGGGUCAUCUCUGGUUCCCCCAAAGCCAAAGAGGUCAGGUCAUGCCGUACAGGAAGACAGCAGAGCUUUAGACCUAAGAAGAAUCCGCCCAUCACUCUUGAAACUCCACAAAGAAAACAGAGCACCCUGGAAGGGGUGAGUGGCCCCUUUGUUCCGGAUCCUUUAAAGGGGCUCGAGUCAUUGGAAGCCUUCUCUAGAUUUUUUUGGUCCCGCAGAUGGCAAAGGCAGGAGGAGGUAUAGGGAGGAAGAAAAGUAAGUGAAAGAGCAUUUGUUGUUUUUGUUUGUUUGUUUUUUAAGACAGAAAGCAAACACAGAAACCAAGCACGUGAUUUGUUGUUUUCGUUUAGUUUUUUCCUCUUUUGCAGCUGCAAGGAAUUUUAGCCAAAUUAGAGAGGCUUUGUUACCCAUAAUUUGGAAUUCUCACUUGGAUUUGACCAAGUCAGGUAGAGUUGGUCAAAUCUGAUGAGAGAAAGACCAGAAAAAACAACAACAACAAAAGUCAAAUGAUAUGACCACAGACUGCUCUAAUGGGAAGAAGAAAUUCAGACCAGCUGGUUGUUAACCUUCAGCCAAGACAAAACCUCAGUUCAGCUACUUACCUAGGGAUGGGUCUCAGGCUGAAGACUGCUCUCUACCAUCCUUGAAGCAGGAAAAAAACUCGAACUUGUCUUCCCUGCUGGGAGCAAGCUCAAACUCCAUAAAAGAGUUGUCAGCCUUCCAUCAUCACGGACCCAGGAAAUCUUGCCUUCCUUCUUGGAAGCAAAUAAAACUCCAAAAGAAGGAGAGGGGGAGUUGUACAUCAAAUAAACUUUAGAUCACGACCAAGUUUUGAGAGAUCAGGGACUCUAUGGAGGGGGUGCUCCCAGACCUCAGCAAAUUGUCCUGUUGGUUUGAGCCAUAAGGUUAGCUCAUGGUGCUACCAAGCACCAAUAGAUCUGUCAAAGGUCAGGGGUACCUCAACUCAGAAUCCCUCCAUGGUUACCAAAAUGUGAACCCCCCAAAUCUGAGACAGGUCUCAGUUAAUUUAGAAAGUUUAUUGUUCCAAGGUUGAAGAUGCACACCCGUGACACAGCCUCAGGAUGUCCUGACGACAUGUGCCAAGGUGGUCAUACGUUUUAGGGAGACAUGAGACAUCAAUCAACACAUGUAAGAUGAACAUUGGUUCAGUCUGGAAAAGGCCGGGCAACGCCAAGCAAAUGUGGGACAACUCGCAGCCAGGAGAAAGCUUCCAGGUCACAGUAUUUUUGACUUACCACGUGUUUAUUGGGACGUAACCCCUUCCUAAGAUGAAGAGCAUCUGUAUACAUCCAGAAUCCUGUGGAGCAACUCAUAACCCAUGAGGAAUGGAAGCCGACAGACAGACUCAUCCCCAGGACAGGUGGUUCUCACUACAUCUCAUAAAGCUUCUUAGAAGAUCUUACAGGAUUGAGCAACCAGCCAGCCACAGCAGGGGCCAACUGGAUAACACGUCUUUGCAUAGGCUCUCCCUCUGUCCCUGUCACCCUCCCCUUUUCCUAACCUUGUUCCUUGGGAUUAUGUUUUGAAAUAAAUUAUUCAGAGAAAUGAAGCCAAAGCUGACCCAUUAGCCAAUAGCUAGGUUCUGUGAUGACAGAGCUUCUGGGCUAUAAUCGUUUACUGAGAAGCCAGCGUUCCUGAGGGGAUAAUGGCUCGUUCCAUUCAGCUGCAGCAUAGGAGUGAGGGCAGGGCAUUAGCAGAAGAUAACACCAGAAACGUGCUCUGGGGCCUGUUGAUGACUUUCUGUGCCAAGCACAGACAUUUAGCCUUUAUUCUGUAUGUGAUGGGAAGCCAGUGCCAGUGGUGGGUUUGAGCAGGGAACCAGCAACCAGUGGUGGGUUUGAGCAGGGAACCAGCAAUACUCAAGCUCUGCUUGGAUGGAGGCCAGUCAGGGAGGAGUUAGGGCAGGAGGACCAGUCAGGGAGGAGACUUAGGGCAGGAGGACCAGUCAGGGAGGAGACUUAGGGCAGGAGGACCGGUCAGGGAGGAGACUUAGGGCAGGAGUACUGGUCAGGGAGGAGACUUAGGGCAGGAGGACCGGUCAGGGAGGAGACUUAGGGCAGGAGGACCGGUCAGGGAGGAGACUUAGGGCAGGAGGACCGGUCAGGGAGGAGUUAGGGCUGGAGGACGGGUCAGGGAGGAGACUUAGGGCAGGAGGACCGGUCAGGGAGGAGUUAGGGCUGGAGGACCGGUCAGGGAGGAGUUAGGGCAGGAGGACUGGUCAGGGAGGAGACUUAGGGCAGGAGGACCGGUCAGGGAGGAGACUUAGGGCAGGAGGACCGGUCAGGGAGGAGACUUAGGGCAGGAGGACUGGUCAGGGAGGAGACUUAGGGCAGGAGGACAGGUCAGGGAGGAGUUAGGGCUGGAGGACGGGUCAGGGAGGAGUUAGGGCUGGAGGACCGGUCAGGGAGGAGUUAGGGCAGGAGGACAGGUCAGGGAGGAGUUAGGGGAGGAGGACCGGUCAGGGAGGAGUUAGGGCAGGGGGAUUGGUCAGGGAGGAGUUAGGGCAGGGGGAUUGGUCAGGGAGGAGUUAGGGCAGGAGGACCGGUCAGGGAGGAGUUAGGGCAGGAGGACCGGUCAGGGAGGAGACUUAGGGCAGGAGGACUGGUCAGGGAGGAGUUAGGGCAGGAGGACCGGUCAGGGAGGAGUUAGGGCAGGAGGACCGGUCAGGGAGGAGACUUAGGGCAGGGGGAUUCGUCAGGGAGGAGUUAGGGCAGGAGGACCGGUCAGGGAGGAGUUAGGGCAGGAGGACUGGUCAGGGAGGAGUUAGGGCAGGAGGACAGGUCAGGGAGGAGACUUAGGGCAGGAGGACCGGUCAGGGAGGAGACUUAGGGCAGGAGGACUGGUCAGGGAGGAGUUAGGGCAGGAGGACCGGUCAGGGAGGAGUUAGGGCAGUAGGACCGGUCAGGGAGGAGUUAGGGCUGGAGGACUGGUCAGGGAGGAGUUAGGGCUGGAGGACAGGUCAGGGAGGAGUUAGGGCAGGAGGACGGGUCAGGGAGGAGUUAGGGGAGGAGGACUGGUCAGGGAGGAGUUAGGGCUGGAGGACCGGUCAGGGAGGAGUUAGGGCAGGAGGACCGGUCAGGGAGGAGUUAGGGCUGGAGGACCGGUCAGGGAGGAGUUAGGGCAGGAGGACCGGUCAGGGAGGAGUUAGGGCAGGAGGACCGGUCAGGGAGGAGACUUAGGGCAGGAGGACUGGUCAGGGAGGAGUUAGGGCUGGAGGACCGGUCAGGGAGGAGUUAGGGCAGGAGGACUGGUCAGGGAGGAGUUAGGGCAGGAGGACAGGUCAGGGAGGAGUUAGGGCAGGAGGAUCGGUCAGGGAGGAGUUAGGGCAGGAGGACCGGUCAGGGAGGAGUUAGGGCAGGAGGACCGGUCAGGGAGGAGUUAGGGCAGGAGGACAGGUCAGGGAGGAGACUUAGGGCUGGAGGACUGGUCAGGGAGGAGUUAGGGCAGGAGGACCAGUUAGGAGGCAGUGACUUAGGACUUCAGCAGUGGCACUAGAAAGGGGAUGGAUAUGAACGACAUUGCAAAGUAAAACUAGAGAGACGGCCGGGCACAGUGGCUCACUCCUGUAAUCCCAGCACUUUGGGAGGCCAAGGCGGGUGGAUCAUGAGGUCAGGAGAUCGAGACCAGCCUGGCCAACAUGGUGAAACCCUAUCUCUACUAGAAAAAAAAAAAAAUAGCCAGGCGUGGUGGCGGGCGCCUGUAAUCCCAGCUACUCCAGAGGCUGAGGCAGGAGAAUUUGCUUGAACCAGGGAGUCGGAAGUUGCAGUGAGCUGAGAUCGCACCACUGCACUCCAGCCUGGGCAAUAGAGUGAGACUCCGUCUCAAUAACAAAACAAACAAACAAAAACCUAGAGAGACUUGGCACCUUGCAGAGAGAAGCAAAAGAUGACCCUGAGGUCUGGAGUCCAGGAAGCCAAGGACAGCAAAAGCAUCCACAGAAACAGGAAAAGGGCAGGUGUGGGAGGGAAGGUGAGAGGUUCAUCAGACCUCACAGCCCCUGGCAGCGCCUCCUGGAUCUUUGAAAUCCUGUGCACCCCAGGAGACUCCGGGAGGCCCAUCUGAGCUCACCGGAGACAGGUCUGCCGUCUCUCCUCUCAUCACUGGGGACAGAAAGCCUGAACAUGAGGCCUGGACUACGGGGCUCAGACCAGAAUAUUUCCAGACUUAAGGGCAGUAAUGUGGAGCCCAGGAAGGAAUAUUGAGGACAGAGGGCACAUUACUUAGCUCAAGGGGUGCUGGGUUCUUAUUUUCUACUUUCAAGAAAUGUUUGCUAUAGUCACUGUAACCACCACAAAACAGUGAAUAAUACCAUGAGCCAAAUGUAUGUUUCACAAUUUGUAUGGCUGAUUCUACGCACAUUUAAAUGUGUUUAUGACAAUUGUAGAUUUCGGUUUUCCUCUGG